GCGGGUGUAGCACAGUUGGUUAGCGCGUCAGUCUCAUAAUCUGAAGGUCGUGAGUUCGAACCUCACCUCCCGCA
This 74-nucleotide transfer RNA is filed under the name Tubulinosema ratisbonensis. It matches the Rfam family "tRNA". From Rfam's summary of the family: Transfer RNA (tRNA) molecules are approximately 80 nucleotides in length. The record is from Rfam by way of RNAcentral. Lineage: Eukaryota; Fungi; Microsporidia; Tubulinosematidae.